Long non-coding RNA from Panicum virgatum (switchgrass), 2016 nucleotides. RefSeq lists it as uncharacterized. Lineage: Eukaryota; Viridiplantae; Streptophyta; Magnoliopsida; Poales; Poaceae. The record is from RefSeq and is a predicted model, not a curated record. The transcript has 2 exons.
UUUACUUCCGCUUGCUUAUUACAGAGUCCCGACCAGCCUAAAUAGCAGGUGGCGUGGUCAUUAACUUAAACAUAGAUUAACUGAAUUAAACAGAGUUUAAACAGAAUGAACUGCUAAUUCCUACAUCCUUCUCAUAAGCCGUCGGAUGAGCAUCAAACGAUCCAGGUGAAGUCGCCGAAACGUCUUGAAUAGCGCCGACUACCUUGCAGCUCGACUUGUUCACUUGUCUGACGAAACUGACGAGCUGAAUCAAGGCCUCUGUUGCCUGACAGCCCGCCAGCCGACGCGCAUCAUCCUCCUCCGGCCGGCCGUCGGCGCAGGCGUCCGCUUCCACCUGCCCACUCUCCCCGUCAUCGGUUGUCGUCCGCGCCUCCGCUUCGUCCCGGCUGUCGCCGCCGUCCGCGCCGCCGCUCCCCGUCCGCGCCAUCGCUACUCCGUCCCCGGUCGCCGCACCGUCCGCGCCGCCGCCGCGCUGCCGAUCCGUCCCCGGCCGCCACGCCGCAUCCUCCGCAACCCGACCACUUCAACCCCAUCGUUGUCGCCUCCUCUUCCUCAACGCAGGCACCUCCUCCACCUCGACGCAGGCGUUGCCUCCCAUCCUCGCUCGAACACUCGGCAGAUCAAACAAAGAGAAGAUUGGAGCGCUCGCCAAAUCACGCUGCCUCCCUUGCUCAUCCUCUCUCCUCCCACGAUUGGGAACCCAGGCAACAAAAGGUAGCAAUCCCCUUCACCGACCCCUCAGAAUUUUGUGGGAUUUGAUGUUGAAAUCUAAAUUUGGGCGUAAAAUCAAAAGCCCAUCAAUUAGCCGUAGAUCCGGUUGUGGCUGAGUUUGAGGAACAGUAGCUGCUGGGGCAUCUCCACGCCGGUCAGGUACUUAGAUUGAAGCAGAACUUGCGCCCGGAUAGUCGACGGCCCCGCUCAUGUCUUGGUCCGGGUGAAGAGGAACGACGCGUUCCUCGGUGAGCUUCUUGUUGGCCACCGGGAACUCCAUCCGUCCAGGGCAUGGAGAAAGAAGUUCUGUAUGUUUGAAAAUCUUCUGUCAAAACUCUGUUGUAUGCAUGUUUAUUUAUCUGGCAUCUGUUUAUUUAUCUUGCCAUGUUGUAUGCAUGUUUGGCUUGUGUCCAUAGACCAUAGUACAUAUAGUUGUUCAAUUUUAGAUUGAAACAUGUUUGCCUACAAUUUAGUUUCUAAGUUUUGCUAUUUGAUCCGCAUGCAUCUGCACUGCCUCCAAUCAGAUCGGCUCCAUCCCCCUCUGGUAUUUUUUUAGUUUCCUUAUCAGGUUUUGGCUCAGCAAUUUUUUUUCUUUCUGUUGCAACCGUUGGUUAUGAUGGUAGUCUGAUGUAGGCAUCUAUAUCUUAGGUGUGUACAACUGGAAAUAUUGUUUGUUUGGUGCUCCAAUUGCUGUCCUCAUAUGAUUCUGGUGAUUUCCUUGUGGGUUUUUGUUGAUAGGGGAAGGAUGUUGCCUCCCGAUCGAAUUAAUUUGCUGUCUGUGACAUGCUUAUUAACCAUCAAAUUCAUGCUUAUUAACCAGCAAUUUCAAGUUGAUAGGAAGACAGAAGCUAUGGUAUUGGUGCGCUGGUCUGCUGUGACUUUACUUGCUGCAAGGGUUAUUUUUCCAAAAUACUGAAUAUGACUUAACUAUGACAAGCUGGUUCCAUGGGUUGCUUCAGGUUAACAGCCAUUCACCCGGCAUCGAUGGGGUUUCCAUGUUCCGAGCGAUGGAUGGACCUGUUCCCAGGGAAACGCCCAUCCUCAACAAGCUCUUCACCAGCCUGUUAGCAACCCCUUCUCAACGAUUCACAGAACAGCUUGAUUCAAUUACAGUCGGAGUACACAACCUGAGGGGAAGGGAGGUUAGAGAUCAGCAGAGCAAUCUACUCCCUCCGUUCCUAAAUAAAUACAAUUUUAUGAUUGAACACGCAAACCAAUGGUAGGUGUUAAAUUAUAAAAGUACCAUUUGUAUUUUGGGAUGAGUGGAUGAAGUGUUAGUUGUCUUUUUGGGAAAUCUUUCGAAAA